Molecule: ribosomal RNA, 414 nt
Filed under: uncultured Funneliformis
Lineage: Eukaryota; Fungi; Glomeromycota; Glomeromycetes; Glomerales; Glomeraceae
Description: partial 28S ribosomal RNA
Source: RNAcentral
GAGAGUUAAACAGUACGUGAAAUUGUUGAAAGGGAAACGAUUGAAGUCAGUCAUACUAACGGGAAAUCAACCUCUUGAGUUUGGUCUCGUGGGUUUUGAAGAGUUUAAAAGCCUUCGGAUUUUCGAGAUUGGAUUCUUCUGGUGUACUUUCUCGUACGGUUAGUCAACAUCGGUUUUGAAUGUCAUAAAAUGACUGGAGGAAUGUGGCUUCGAUCUCGUAUUGAAGUGUUAUAGCCUUUGGUAGAUGUGAUGUUCGAGACCGAGGAUUGCAACGGAUACCCUUCUGGGCUAUUCGUCUGAUCUCUGAAACGUUGCCUUGAUGUCGAAAGCUUGCUUAUGAUGUUAGGGUAUUACGGUCAAAAGGUUAGAACGGAUUAAAUUCGUUAAGGAUGUUGACGUAAUGACUUUAAACGA